CGCCUGCCCUGUGGAACCCUUAACGGCCGCGGUACAAAACCGUGCAAAGGUAGCACAAUCACUUGUCCCUUAAAUGAGGACCCGUAUGAAAGGCAACAUGAGAGAAAACCUGUCUCCUAAGGCCAGCCAAUGAAAUUGAUCUAUCAGUACAAAAGCUGAUAUAAUUAAGCAAGACAAAAAGACCCUAUGGAACUUUAACGAAUUACUUACUUACCAAAUAAGCAAUAGUUUCAGUUGGGACAACUUUAGAAAAAAUAAACCUCUAACAUCACUAUAUUGACCAACAAGUCUCCGACAUACAAGACCCAGUAACACUGACAAACGAAACAAGCUACCCUAGGGAUAACAGCGCUACCUUCUCAAAGAGUCCAUAUCAACAAGAAGAUCUACGACCUCGAUGUUGGAUCAGGGUACCCAGACGGUGCAGCAGCUGUCAAUGGUUCGUUUGUUCAACGAUUAACACCCUACGUGAUCUGAGUUCAGACCGGA
RNAcentral lists this ribosomal RNA (489 nucleotides) under Chamaeleo dilepis (flapneck chameleon). Its description in RNAcentral is "partial 16S ribosomal RNA". It matches the Rfam family "Bacterial large subunit ribosomal RNA", at positions 1856 to 2620 of the family's 2925-position model. The record is from RNAcentral. Lineage: Eukaryota; Metazoa; Chordata; Lepidosauria; Squamata; Chamaeleonidae.